AGUGAACGCUGGCGGUAGGCCUAACACAUGCAAGUCGAACGGCAGCACAGUAAGAGCUUGCUCUUACGGGUGGCGAGUGGCGGACGGGUGAGGAAUACAUCGGAAUCUACUUUUUCGUGGGGGAUAACGUAGGGAAACUUACGCUAAUACCGCAUACGACCUACGGGUGAAAGCAGGGGAUCUUCGGACCUUGCGCGAUUGAAUGAGCCGAUGUCGGAUUAGCUAGUUGGCGGGGUAAAGGCCCACCAAGGCGACGAUCCGUAGCUGGUCUGAGAGGAUGAUCAGCCACACUGGAACUGAGACACCGUCCAGACUCCGACGGGAGGCAGCAGUGGGGAAUAUUGGACAAUGGGCGCAAGCCUGAUCCAGCCAUACCGCGUGGGUUAAGAAGGCCUUCGGGUUGUAAAGCCCUUUUGUUGGGAAAGAAAAGCAGCAGGUUAAUACCCCGCUGUUCUGACGGUACCCAAAGAAUAAGCACCGGCUAACUUCGUG
Molecule: ribosomal RNA, 492 nt
Filed under: uncultured bacterium
Lineage: Bacteria
Description: partial 16S ribosomal RNA
Rfam family: Bacterial small subunit ribosomal RNA
Source: RNAcentral